UGCGGGGGGGGCAAGCGUUGUUCGGAAUUACUGGGCGUAAAGGGUUUGUAGGUGGCCCGCUAAGUCACACGUGAAAUCCCUCAGCUUAACUGGGGAACUGCGUGUGAGACUGGCAGGCUCGAGGGCAGGAGAGGAACGCGGAAUUCCAGGUGUAGCGGUGAAAUGCGUAGAUAUCUGGAGGAACACCGGUGGCGAAGGCGGCAUCCUGGACCAACACUGACACUGAGGAGCGAAAGCCAGGGGAGCAAACGGG
RNAcentral lists this ribosomal RNA (253 nucleotides) under uncultured bacterium. RNAcentral's name for it is "partial 16S ribosomal RNA". It matches the Rfam family "Bacterial small subunit ribosomal RNA", at positions 524 to 776 of the family's 1533-position model. The record is from RNAcentral.